This 497-nucleotide ribosomal RNA is filed under the name uncultured bacterium. RNAcentral describes it as "partial 16S ribosomal RNA". It matches the Rfam family "Bacterial small subunit ribosomal RNA", at positions 28 to 507 of the family's 1533-position model. The record is from RNAcentral.
GAUGAACGCUGGCGGCGUGCCUAAUACAUGCAAGUCGAGCGAACAGACGAGGAGCUUGCUCCUCUGACGUUAGCGGCGGACGGGUGAGUAACACGUGGAUAACCUACCUAUAAGACUGGGAUAACUUCGGGAAACCGGAGCUAAUACCGGAUAAUAUAUUGAACCGCAUGGUUCAAUAGUGAAAGACGGUUUUGCUGUCACUUAUAGAUGGAUCCGCGCCGCAUUAGCUAGUUGGUAAGGUAACGGCUUACCAAGGCAACGAUGCGUAGCCGACCUGAGAGGGGGAUCGGCCACACUGGAACUGAGACACGGUCCAGACUCCGACGGGAGGCAGCAGUAGGGAAUCUUGCGCAAUGGGCGAAAGCCUGACGGAGCAAUGCCGCGGGAGUGAUGAAGGUCUUCGGAUCGUAAAACUCUGUUAUUAGGGAAGAACAAAAGUGUGAGUAAAUAGGCACGUCUUGACGGUACCUAAUCAGAAAGCCACGGCUAACUACGUG